This 1263-nucleotide long non-coding RNA is filed under the name Rosa chinensis. RNAcentral describes it as "sRNA RchiOBHm_Chr5g0043711". Lineage: Eukaryota; Viridiplantae; Streptophyta; Magnoliopsida; Rosales; Rosaceae. The record is from RNAcentral.
GGGGGACAUUUAGCCUAAACCUCAGAUUACAAUAGGCAUAAAGAGUACGACCCGAAAUGAUCUUAGGAAACUCUACAAAAACCAUGUAUUCCAAGAAGCACCAACUAGCAAAGAGCGCACUACUGGCUUCUCUAUUUGCUUUUACAUUGCGGUGACAUAACAGAAAGAUAACUCGAUGACAAAGUAGCAUAAUUACCAAUGGCACCGCUUUUCUGAUAUGUUGCCGUCGGGAGAGAACUCCUACGACAUGCAGUUUCACCUUGCCACUAGGAGGCAGCGACCAUUUGACCAAGCAAGGAACUCGCCGCCUACCUAGAGCAGAAACAAUACUGCCACUAGAAGACCGCGAUCAUUUGCUAACGCAAGGAACUCGCCGCCUACCUAGAGCAGAAACAUUACUGCCACUAGAAGACUGCGACCAUUUACUAACGCAAGGAACUCGCAGCCUACCUAGGACAGACCAGGCACACAAAGGGUGCAGUCCGGGACCAAGCCCACGUCGCCCCACCACCACUCGAUAGGGACUUAUUACCGGCAUAUAGCCACCAUUACCUAAUAAAGACAAAAAAACCAUAAAACUUAAAAAAAUAAAGCGAAUUUGGGCCCAGAUCCCAAGCCCAAAACGCACAAAGCCCAACCAAAGAGGAGCUCAGACUACAAGCCGCACGUCACAGUCCUGCAAGCCAGAUCCACACCUUCCGACCACUGGCAUGAAUCCUCCUGCGAGGAGCACCAUCUCUCUCAGCCCUCCGAUCACCGUGAGUCCACCCGAUCCGAUCACCUUCAAACAACACCAUCCAAAACCUCACCCACCGCAGCCUGUACAAACACCACAGACGAGCCCGACCUGGCACCCACCCAUCCCACCACCGAGACGCCACACAGCUGCGCCGCAUAGUACCACGGCUUGAGUCCGAUCGGCAACAAUAGAUCCAGAUCUGGAUCGACUCUGCCCAGAACACCAAAUCGCCGCCCACGCCCAGAACUCAGAAGCAAAGAUGACACCAGAUCAUGCUGCCGCACAACCGCGCCGCACCUCCUCUCCACACCUGCAGACGUCCACAAGCUGCGAAGGGCAGAUCGAGAACUCACAGUCCGACCCGGAAAACCAGCACCUACCACCUUACCACGGCCACGUCUUCGCCUGAGCCCCCCGUCGGAAUGCGAAAGAUCAACACAGACCCGUCCGACGACGACGUCCCAAGCACGCGCCGCCGGACGGAGCAUCACUCUCUGUCAGGGAAACCAGGCGCGUGAGGCGCG